RNAcentral lists this long non-coding RNA (601 nucleotides) under Nicotiana benthamiana. RNAcentral's name for it is "long non-coding RNA (NBEN_LNC028315)". The record is from RNAcentral. Lineage: Eukaryota; Viridiplantae; Streptophyta; Magnoliopsida; Solanales; Solanaceae.
AAUAGAUAAAUCAUAUUUUAAAACCCUUUUCAAUAAUUUAAGAGCAUUUUUGAAUCUAUUUUCGUUCAAAAAAUGCAAGAGUGCCGCAAAAUUUGAGCUUACGACUUGAAACAAUUUUUGAAUCACAUUUAAUUUUCUAGUACACCAAAAGCUUCCCUUAUGUUAAAGGAAAUCAACAAUUAAUAUGUACACAACAACAACAACAAUUAAUAUGUCACAUAUAAAUUAAUUUUUUUUCGAUAUAAAAGGGCUUUAAUUGAAACCCUUAACCAUCAUACCUCCGCUCCCAGUUAUAACAAGUUAUUAUCUCAGUUUUUCAGGUUACUAUAUGAGAUAAUUAUGAAUAGUUAUAUGUUGUAAGACGACCAGAAUCACCAUUUACUCUGAGAAAUUGAAAGUUGAAGUACACAAAGAGUAAUAAAGGAGAUAAUGUAGCAAGAGUAUAAACACAGAACAUAUGAUAUAAUCCACUAAACUGUAACAAAUAGCUGCAUAUAUACUAAAGAUUAAUUUAAUGUUAAAAGUUUAAAAGAUUGAACUCAUAAAACUUAAAUUUUGGAUCCACCUUUGUAUGCAUAUGAAAGAGAGUAUGAAGAAGCUA